RNAcentral lists this unclassified non-coding RNA (7542 nucleotides) under Leishmania donovani. RNAcentral describes it as "gene:LdHU3.20.1370(CDS-product:hypothetical_prote in_conserved)". Lineage: Eukaryota; Euglenozoa; Kinetoplastea; Trypanosomatida; Trypanosomatidae. The record is from RNAcentral.
GAAAUACUCGUACAUGUGCCACUGCUGCGCCCACGCAUACGUAGCGUCUGCGGCGUGUCACUCGUUUCGCUUCUCCGUGUGGGUGUGUGAGUGCGUGUGGGUGCAGUGUGGCGAGUCGCGCAGCCCCUCCUGCUGGUGCCCCCGUGGCGGUGUUGGUGGAGGCGCACGCCUCAACGCUCGUCGCUUUUUUUUUUCGUUUCUUUCGUUUCCUUUCCUUUCUGGCUCCACAGCGUCGACGUGCGCCUGCCGGUGGCCACACACGGUGGCACUUCUUGCUCUCCUCAUGACGCGCACGCCCGUGCAGAUAGACGCGCAGCCACACUCGUUCCGUUCCAUUCAUAAAAGAUAAGUUCGCUCCGAAUCGCUUGUCCGGUAGCCAAAGGCUGUCGCGCCCUCAUCCAUGGUUGGUGGUCCACGGAAGGUGCGACACGCUCCCGCGUGCACAACAUCGGCGCCGGCACAGCCCUCGUCGAUGACCACUGAAGAUAGAACGCAGAAUCUAGGGAAGCGCACCUUAGAUGAACCGAACGCGGCGCCGAGGCAGCUCAGAGGCAGAGGCCGCGGUCGCUGCGCAGCGGCCCCCUCGGUGCAUGCGAGCGCAGUAUUCACCGUUGACCACGGAAGCGAAGUGAGUGCCACGGUACGCAUGGAUGCAACGCGGAAGGCUGACAUUGAUUUCGUAACUGAAAGCGUAUACAGCUGCGGCAGUAGUGACAGCUCUGAUUUUUCGAUUUCGCAUCGUGGAAAAGAGGGUCCCGCCGAGAUAGUUGUCGAGGAUGCCAGUUUCGGGCUGACUAGCACGCUACCCCGCAAGUUUGUGUCGACGCCGCCAGCGGAGACAACAGCAGCAGCGUCUCGCACUUUGGACGGCGUUGUGGUCAUCGCAUCAGACUCGCCGCCACCACCGCGGAGGCGACGAGGCGGAGGCCAAAGUCACCACAAAGGCCGUGAGCGAAGCGAACGGACGCUGCGGAGUGUGACGUGUGUGUCUGACGAGGAGGACAUAGGGGCGUCGCAGUGCUGCCGCGAGCGAGCCACGUCACCUCCAUCGACUGCAUCAGCGGGGCGCAUCAGUGCUAGUACCCGCCGCCUUCCCACGUUCGAGCCCACAAUGCCAUCACGGGUACUGUGCGAUGAUGACGACGGCGAUGCAGAUGACCGGGAAGGUUUGCCAGUGCGGCAGCAGCAUCCGCAGCAUGGAGCAGAUCUCACGGUACACCGCUACAGCUGCUGCUUUUCCUCAUUGGGCUCGUCGCCCACUCGCAGCUCCGUCAGUCCGGCCCUCCCUGCAGCCACAGACGCAGCUGAGGCGAAGCAGCACUCGUGCGACAGCGACGAUCCCGACAAAGGCCCGGGGCCGCACUUUCUUUGCGCCGCGCCCAUCCUGCAGGCGUCAGGGCUGAGAGACUUUUUCACCUACGGCGUACAGGCAGCGAUGCGCCACUACUCUGAGCACCUCAACGGUGCUACCGGCGCAGAGGAGGAUGGCGCAUGCAGCGAGAUGAAUGACAGUGCCGGGACCCUAUGCCUUGACCAUGUUGCCAACCCCACAACGCUACCGGCCUCAGUGUAUCGCACGCGCCAACACAGUACAGCGUCACAGCACCGCAAUGAAUUUCUGGAGGACAUCUCUAACGGGCAGAAGUACGAUGCCAACACCGCCCGCAAGCGCGCCAGGGCCUACUCGUGCAGCAGCAGGAGCAGCGCUGCCACAUACGACAGCGACGUUGAAGGAAGUAGCUCGCUCUCCCCCCGGGACGACACGGGCACGCGUAGAGGGAAGGUGUGCCUACUUAAUCCUCAACAGACUUCGCUUUUUCGAGCCCCUCAUGGUGCGACGGCGGCACGCUACCCGCCCGAACACGGGGCGAUGGCGAACGGCUCGUGGCUCACUACCACCGCGACGACGUCUUCGCCGACCACCUUGCAGAAGUCGUCACUAGUGUCGUCUGGCUCGACGCAGGGAGUGGAUCAGCAACGCGAGAACAGUGCACAAGCGCGCUUCCGCGAGGCGCUGCGGCACGCCUACCAGUGCGAGGAUGCACACAGGCAGCGGCGACGUGCACAGCUGGACAAGCAGCAGGAACAGCUCUUACGCGGCGUGGAGCUUCUUCAGGGUGCAUCUUUCUCCUCGAGCGCUGCGCUUCUUGCUGAGCUGCUGCCCUCGCGUGGGCGUGACGGUCGCCGUAGUGCUGGCUCGGUCAAGUCCCCUAUCUCGCUCCAGCCACCGCAACCACAACUCGGUGCGUCACCUCUAUCGCUGCUCGCGACAUCUGUCGAGGCGGCUGUGGAGACAGGCACAGAGACGAUCGCGCAACAAGGCCGCGCCGGCGGCGCUUCGACGUCUUUGGCAGCCGAAGCAUGCUUGUCUUCGUCGUCAAAGGUAACGGCAACGCCACAGAUGGGUAACAUCUCCAAACGCCUUCUCCAGGUCAUGUCCCCAGCCCAGGCGCAGAGGCUUCGCAGGCCGCUAAACCCCUUCAUCGAGGCACUCCUUCGCCAUUACCAGAGCGUGCAGCUGAAGCAACGUGCUGCGCGGCACGCAGAAGACCAGGCCAUCCACGCCAGGCGCACGUACGAGCUACCUGUGCUCACAGAGGACGUUGUCCGCUACGCCGCGUUGCUUCUCUGCUUGCGCCGCCACAGAACCGGUGGCGGCAGCACGGCAGUAACACGUGCAGCAUGCGCAGGGGGGUCUGGCUUGUUGCAGUCAGGGCCAGCCAGCAAAGAGCCCAGCAGCUCAACCUCAAAUGCAGAGCCACAACCGCCCCCGACUCUGGCGGCUGCUGAGCCCGCUGCAGCGCUCCCGUUUGGGGAGGAAGGCACAUUAUUGUACCUCAAGUACCCUCCCCCGCUGCUGCGCACGACGUCUUUUGCGGUGGAAACGGUGCGACUGUUGAAGUGGCUGCGCACGUGGAAAAAGAGCAGCCCUAGCAUAGCGGGUGAGACGGGAGGCAUCGCUGGUGGUGGUAGCAGCGCUAGCGUUGGCGGCGUGAGCGAGGGCGGUAGCAGCAGCAGCAGCAGGAGUCGGAGCAGGAUCGGUCGCAAGCGCGUGCGAACUGACGUGGUCAAGCUCAACAGUCGCAACGGCAACGUCGACAGCGGCGAUGACGGCGACGAUAGCGAUGAUGACGGAGGAGUGGUGGUAGUGGCCAGUCCGACCCCAGCACCUCACAGAGCAGCCAGCAGCAGCACCACUGCCGAGGCGCCUCCGCCCAACCGAUCGACAGUGGAGCGCGUCAGUCAGCAGGCACAGCACGCCGUUGAGAUUCAAGAGGCACAGCUGAAACAAGAGAGGCGCUCAGCCUUUCUCAAGUUCUUUGGAGCGGCGGCAACCCCGCCGCCCACAAACGGUGCCGAGCGGAAUGCGAAGGCGGCGCAGGACCACGACGAUGGAAAAGAUGCUGCUAAGGAAGUUGUUUCGCAAAAGCCGGUCUCCUGUUUAGGCAUGAGCGAGCCCGCUGGCAGCAACACAGGGAUGCGCGAUACUGCCGCCAUCUCCGUCGGCGCCAUGUACGGCAUCACGUCCUCCGUGACACCCUUGUCGCCACCCUCGGGCCAGACACAGCUGAAGCCGUCAACACUGGCGUUGGCAUCGCACGCCUAUCAGCUCUACUGCCAUGCGUGGAAGCAUGUCGUCAAAACCGGCAUCACACCCUUGGUCGUUGCGGCCAACGCCUUUUGUGGUCCCAAAGCAGUCACGGGGCAAUCUCGGCUAAGCAACGGUGACGACAACAACGGUGGCGCCGCUGCCACCAGCGACAAAGACACGAGCUGGACCGAUGGCGUCGUCCCUCGCGUCUGUGCUGGGCUGCCUUUCUUCAAGGAGAUGCGCGAGGAGGCGCGGCGCACGGCACUGGGCUCUGCAAACAACGGUACCUACUACGAGGAUGCUUUUGGCAACCGUCUGCGCAGCGCACGGCUUGCCAAGAAGGAGCAGGAGCAGCGGGAGUUGCUGGUGGCGCGGCAGCGGCGGCGUGCAAAGAAGAAGGGCUACUUUCACCGCGACGACGACAACGACGGUCGCCUCGGCGGCAGGGCAGCCGGCAACGGGGCCUCGGCCAUGCUGGAAGCGAUGCUGCGAUCAUCCGCGACGUGGGGCAGCGAAAGGCAAGGCGCCGGGUGCGGCAAGAAGCGUCAGCGCGGCAGCGGCGACGACGCCAGUGAGGGCGAAGGCGUAGUGCAAGACACACAACCUCGCGGCAGCAGCCGAUGUGCAGCCGCCCGCCGGGCCCUCCAACUCCGCUCACGCGCAUCCUCAUCGUACUCCUCAUCCUCAAAGCCCAGCUCGCGCUGCAGCAGCAGCAGCAGCACUGCAUCGAUGGUAUCAGCGGAAAACGACCAAGACGAGGCAGGGGCGAAGGACGAGCUGACAAACAUCGCUGUCGUCUCUGGUCCGACAGGCUCUGGCAAAACCGCCGCCGUUUACGUGGCCGCGCAGCUGCUCGGCUUUCACGUGGUGGAGAUGAACGCGUCGGUGCGGCGCUGCUCAAAGACGGUGGAGCAUCUGCUUGCAGAGCUCACGCGCAGCUACCGGCUUAGCAGCCUACGGCCCGGCACAACAGGAAGCUUUAAUGCAGAGGAAGAGCUGGCGAAGUUGAAGCAGCAGCACGCCGUCAUGGUGGAGCGGGCCAGGGCUGAGGCAGAGGCCGCCGAAAGGAAAGCGGAGCUCAAGAGGCGCGAGGCGCUGAAGGUAAACGGCAUCUCAGCCCAGGCAGUCGCAAAUUUUUUCGCCAAGGGCUGCGGCCGCGCCGCAGUAUCGAGCAGCAAGACAGUCAAAGGUAUCAAGGGAAAGGACGCAGCCAAGCAGGUCUCGGAUGCGGAUAUGGUGACCGAGGCGCCUGCCCCAGCCGCCGCUGCGACCUCGUCGUCACCACCACCGGCCGCCACAGCCCCAGGGACUCCUGUCGACGCCGGCACCUUGCUUCUCUUCGAGGAUGCCGAUGUUCUCCUCGGCGAUGAGUCUGCCAAGCCUUUUUACGCAGCCAUCCGUGACCUCGCGCGCCGCAGCAAGGUGCCCAUCGUUGUAACCGUCUCCUCCGACCCAGCGGCUGCACAGCGCUACGACACCGAGCCCUUCCUCGCCCUCCUAGACGGGCAGCUGCAGCAGCGACACACAAGCUCGGCCUCGCCAACAUCUGCCAUACAGCCUACGUACUGGCAGCUGUGUGAUGCAGCGGGGCUGAACUCGAUAAUGGCCACGAUGGAGGCGGCACAUCAAGCGCUGCAGGUGGAGGCGGACCUAGGCAACCGCGGCGCUUCGACAGCAACAGCGACCACGAUCACGGCCGCCGCACACGAGAGCAACAGAAGCCCUUCUGCGGUGGGCGACAGUGGCGGAAGCACGGGUAUGGCGCCGGUGUGUGGCUCUCCUGCGGCCUCGUUCCUCCCACUCUUCUCCUCUUCCGGUGGAGGCGGCACGUCCGGUAGCGCAGCGCCGGCCGCAUGCGCAUGGACGAACGGGGCAAGCGCCGGUGUCUCCACUACCAGCGCUUCCGGUGGAGGCGGCGGGCCCGGCGGCACCAGCACCGCCACCCCAGCCGCUGCUGCCGCGGUGGCUGCACGCUACACGCGCAUGCUGCUCAACGCCACACUCGUGUCGAGCUUCUUUGGCUCCCAGACGCCCUUCACUGUGGUCGACCCGCUCCCGCCCUCUGCCUUGUACGCGCAACUCCUGGCGGUGGGGGCAGUGGAGCUGGACUUGUUGCGGUUGGACGAACCGGCCACGUCUCCCGGCGUCAGCGACAGUGCUGCGUCGCUGUCGUCGUCCUCGUCUCAGCAGGAGCUGGAGCGCAUGGCGGCCCGACUCACCGUAUGUGACACAGGCCUAUUUCGUCGGCUUGCGGAGCACCUCCGCCAUCACAUCUUUGGUGCCUGGGACAUCGCCGACGAUGAAGCUGGCGCGCAUGUGGCUCCCCCGCUCCUGCCGGGGCACAACUUGGUGAAUGCUGUGCAGUGCGACGCGGCCCGCCGCACGACGACAGACGUGCGCUACUGGCUGAACAAGCUGCAGGUGCUGCUCCUCUCACUGCGAGAAGGCAGCAACACAGCGCGGAUGCCCAAAGCGGCGGAGGCCGCGACGUCGUCGGAGUCGGUCACGCGAAAGCGGUCGCGAGAGAGGAUGAAAGCGACGCCGUUCGAGACCACAUCAGCCGCAUACGGGGGCGAUAAUGCGAUGUGCGAUGCGAAGGUGAUCGGCGCUCGGCGCGCCGAGCAUCUUGUAGAAGCAGAGUUUCGGCGCCGCGUCAGCCUCGCCGCGAGUGAGUGGGACGCAGCCCUGGGUCGACAUCUCUCCAAUGUGGCUCACAAUGAGCAGCACAGCACUCGCUACGAGCGCUGGUUCUUGGACGCCCACGUGUGCUACAUCGCGGACAUUGUAGAGGAGUUGGCCACGACCGAUCAUCCCACCGCGCGCGUGGACUACACAACGCCCUUGCAGGCGCCGGCGCGGUGCGGACGUUCGCCGUCGUCGUCGUCGUCGUCCGGAAAGAAGCUCGCUCGCGCAAACAAGUCCGAGAGAAAGGCUGCUGCAGCUCCAGAGCCGACCUACCACCCACGCGAGGAGGCCAGCGCAUGUUUAACUCGAUGCACCAGUGGCAGCAGUGGUGAUGGCGGUGGCGUAAACUCUGCGUGGCGGUCUUUCUUUGCAGCCUCUGGUGCGAGCGUGGCGUCCACACUAUCGACGGCGUCGCCUGUCGUGCGUGGCGUCUCACCGGCAGAUCGGCGCCAGCAAACGCUCUUAGGCUGCGGCGGCUCCAAGGCGGGCGGCGUGGUAGUCGGCGCGCCGCCGCCUCCGUCGUUGACCAUACCCGUUCGGUGCGAGUGGCCGCCAAGCGCGCUUGAGCUGCGCAGGCAGGCAUGCAGCCACGCACAUCUGCGUCCGGUGGAGCUGUUGCUACCCUAUGGCGCGGCAGAGGCUUACUACGGCACCGCAGCGGCAUCCGCAUCGACGCUGGCGCCCUUCAGCAUCCACGACAUGGCGGAGCCGACCGCGGCACUGCUCGGUCGCGAAAUCCCUCUUCGAUUUCUGAUGCGUCGCUCCGUGCGGGAUUCCUCAACGGGUGAUAAUGGGAAGGCGGAAGGAGAUGUGGGCCGCGAGUUCCCCGCCGGCGUGCGCACGACACAAGAGGAGCGUUUUCGCGUGUUCCGGAGGUGGUGGUGCCGCACCCGCAAGGCCGGCGCAUUGCGUGACAGCGUCGCUGGACGCUCCGCGGAGACGCUGGAGGAUAUCGUCGGCUUUGGUUGCCUGCUCACCCCGCCAGCAGCCGAAACGCGCAAUGCCACUAGCGGAAGCCCAUGAGCCCUGCUGCUUUGCAGCGACUCGCCUACUUCAAUGGUCCACGCACGCACGCACACACACGCACACACAGGCAUGCACGCAUAGACACAACAUGCCCAUGCGACUUCGUUUCUUUUACACCUGUGCUUACCCCCGUUGCCAAUGCACCACAAUGCGAAGUCGUCUGGCGUGUCUUCCUCCGGUACCGCGCAUAGACGGAAAAACGGAACGGCCGACGAAAUACAUAUAAAUGCACGGAAGAA